This 1282-nucleotide ribosomal RNA is filed under the name Sphingobacterium kitahiroshimense. RNAcentral describes it as "bacterial SSU rRNA". It matches the Rfam family "Bacterial small subunit ribosomal RNA", at positions 107 to 1391 of the family's 1533-position model. The record is from RNAcentral. Lineage: Bacteria; Pseudomonadati; Bacteroidota; Sphingobacteriia; Sphingobacteriales; Sphingobacteriaceae.
UGCGUAACGCGUGAGCAACCUACCCAUAUCAGGGGGAUAGCCUCUCGAAAGAGAGAUUAACACCGCAUAACAUCAUUUACCGGCAUCGGUUUUUGAUCAAAUAUUUAUAGGAUAUGGAUGGGCUCGCGUGACAUUAGCUAGUUGGAGAGGUAACGGCUCACCAAGGCUACGAUGUCUAGGGGCUCUGAGAGGAGAAUCCCCCACACUGGUACUGAGACACGGACCAGACUCCUACGGGAGGCAGCAGUAAGGAAUAUUGGUCAAUGGAGGCAACUCUGAACCAGCCAUGCCGCGUGCAGGAUGACUGCCCUAUGGGUUGUAAACUGCUUUUGUCAGGGAAUAAACCUUUCUACGUGUAGAAAGCUGAAUGUACCUGAAGAAUAAGGAUCGGCUAACUCCGUGCCAGCAGCCGCGGUAAUACGGAGGAUCCAAGCGUUAUCCGGAUUUAUUGGGUUUAAAGGGUGCGUAGGCGGUCCUAUAAGUCAGUGGUGAAAGACGGCAGCUUAACUGUCGCAGUGCCUUUGAUACUGUAGGACUUGAAUCUAUUUGAAGUGGGCGGAAUAAGACAAGUAGCGGUGAAAUGCAUAGAUAUGUCUUAGAACUCCGAUUGCGAAGGCAGCUCACUAAGUUAGUAUUGACGCUGAUGCACGAAAGCGUGGGGAUCAAACAGGAUUAGAUACCCUGGUAGUCCACGCCCUAAACGAUGAUAACUCGAUGUUUGCGAUACACAGUAAGCGUCCAAGCGAAAGCGUUAAGUUAUCCACCUGGGGAGUACGGUCGCAAGAUUGAAACUCAAAGGAAUUGACGGGGGCCCGCACAAGCGGAGGAGCAUGUGGUUUAAUUCGAUGAUACGCGAGGAACCUUACCCGGGCUUGAAAGUUAGUGAAUGAUCCAGAGACGGAUCAGUCCUUCGGGACACGAAACUAGGUGCUGCAUGGCUGUCGUCAGCUCGUGCCGUGAGGUGUUGGGUUAAGUCCCGCAACGAGCGCAACCCCUAUGUUUAGUUGCCAGCAUGUAAUGAUGGGGACUCUAAACAGACUGCCAGCGUAAGCUGUGAGGAAGGUGGGGACGACGUCAAGUCAUCAUGGCCCUUACGUCCGGGGCUACACACGUGCUACAAUGGACGGUACAGCGGGCAGCUACAUAGCAAUAUGAUGCUAAUCUCUAAAAGCCGUUCACAGUUCGGAUUGAGGUCUGCAACUCGACCUCAUGAAGUUGGAUUCGCUAGUAAUCGCGUAUCAGCAAUGACGCGGUGAAUACGUUCCCGGGCCUUGUACACACC